GUUGAGAACUGUUCUGCGCAUGUGUCCUGGGAUUACUAGAUUGCGCCUACUUUGUCAUCCAGUUUUAGCCAUACCCUACCUUCCUACCUCAGUAGGAUAUGAUUUGGUGAUUCUAUAUGCUAACCUGUAGAGGAGAGUCUGUAUUAGGAAAGACGUGGAGAAGAACCAUGCGUUCUCCCUCUGCUAUGCAUUAGAACUCUAGGAAGAAAGUGACAAAUUCAAAGAUGGAGAUAGAAUGAAGCUAAAGAACAAUCACUUGCCUGAGGCCAUUUGAGGAAAAAAACCAAGAAGAUUUCAUGAAAAAUACAUCAUCAUAACAUUGAUGUAUGGACCCUGUAACAUCCAAUUUCUUAAAGGCAUCUGUAGCUACUAAGGAUGCUGGUCAUGCCCUCAUCAACACACGGACAAUAUAAAUGAGAUGAUGCUUCAUGGAACAUAAUGCACACAGAUGCUUUUCUAAAAUAUACUCACAUCUUCGAAAAUAAAAUGAUUUGGC
Molecule: long non-coding RNA, 496 nt
Filed under: Heterocephalus glaber (naked mole-rat)
Lineage: Eukaryota; Metazoa; Chordata; Mammalia; Rodentia; Bathyergidae
Description: lncRNA (ENSHGLG00100050047.1)
Source: RNAcentral